This is an unclassified non-coding RNA of Papio anubis (olive baboon), 148 nucleotides long. It matches the Rfam family "Metazoan signal recognition particle RNA". Rfam says of the family: The signal recognition particle (SRP) is a universally conserved ribonucleoprotein. It is involved in the co-translational targeting of proteins to membranes. The eukaryotic SRP consists of a 300-nucleotide 7S RNA and six proteins: SRPs 72, 68, 54, 19, 14, and 9. Lineage: Eukaryota; Metazoa; Chordata; Mammalia; Primates; Cercopithecidae. The record is from Ensembl.
GCCAGGUGUGGUGGCGCGCACCUGUAAUCCCAGCUACCCGGGAGGCUGAGGCAGGAGAAUCGCUUGAACCCAGGAGGCGGAGGUUGCAGUGAGCCGAGAUCACCCCACUGCACUCCAGCCUGGGUGACAGAGUGAGACUCUGUCUAAA